This 75-nucleotide transfer RNA is filed under the name Alienimonas californiensis. Its description in RNAcentral is "Planctomycetes bacterium CA12 tRNA-Arg". It matches the Rfam family "tRNA". Rfam says of the family: Transfer RNA (tRNA) molecules are approximately 80 nucleotides in length. Their secondary structure includes four short double-helical elements and three loops (D, anti-codon, and T loops). Further hydrogen bonds mediate the characteristic L-shaped molecular structure. tRNAs have two regions of fundamental functional importance: the anti-codon, which is responsible for specific mRNA codon recognition, and the 3' end, to which the tRNAs corresponding amino acid is attached (by aminoacyl-tRNA synthetases). tRNAs cope with the degeneracy of the genetic code in two manners: having more than one tRNA (with a specific anti-codon) for a particular amino acid; and 'wobble' base-pairing, i.e. permitting non-standard base-pairing at the 3rd anti-codon position. The record is from RNAcentral. Lineage: Bacteria; Pseudomonadati; Planctomycetota; Planctomycetia; Planctomycetales; Planctomycetaceae.
GCGCCCCUAGCUCAAUUGGAUAGAGCGUCGGUCUACGGAACCGAAGGUUGCAGGUUCGAAUCCUGCGGGGCGUAC